RNAcentral lists this ribosomal RNA (433 nucleotides) under uncultured bacterium. RNAcentral describes it as "partial 16S ribosomal RNA". It matches the Rfam family "Bacterial small subunit ribosomal RNA", at positions 29 to 507 of the family's 1533-position model. The record is from RNAcentral.
AGCGAACGCUGGCGGCAGGCCUAACACAUGCAAGUCGAACGAACUCUUCGGAGUUAGUGGCGGACGGGUGAGUAACACGUGGGAACGUGCCCUUUGGUUCGGAAUAACUCAGGGAAACUUGUGCUAAUACCGAAUGUGCCCUUCGGGGGAAAGAUUUAUCGCCAUUAGAGCGGCCCGCGUCUGAUUAGCUAGUUGGUGAGGUAACGGCUCACCAAGGCGACGAUCAGUAGCUGGUCUGAGAGGAUGACCAGCCACACUGGGACUGAGACACGGCCCAGACUCCUACGGGAGGCAGCAGUGGGGAAUCUUGCGCAAUGGGGGAAAGCCUGACGCAGCCAUGCCGGGUGAAUGAUGAAGGUCUUAGGAUUGUAAAAUUCUUUCACCGGGGACGAUAAUGACGGUACCCGGAGAAGAAGCCCCGGCUAACUUCGUG